Molecule: ribosomal RNA, 98 nt
Filed under: Acidiferrobacteraceae bacterium
Lineage: Bacteria; Pseudomonadati; Pseudomonadota; Gammaproteobacteria; Acidiferrobacterales; Acidiferrobacteraceae
Description: partial 23S ribosomal RNA
Rfam family: Bacterial large subunit ribosomal RNA (bases 1-87)
Source: RNAcentral
CGAAGACUACGACGUUGAUAGGCGGGAUGUAGAAGUGCAGUAAUGCAUGUAGCUAACCCGUACUAAUUGCCCGUGAGGCUUGAUCAUAUAACACCCAA